GACGAACGCUGGCGGCGUGCCUAAUACAUGCAAGUCGAACGAGAGCGACCGGCGCUUGCACUGGUCAAUCUAGUGGCGAACGGGUGAGUAACACGUGGGUAACCUGCCCAUCAGAGGGGGAUAACAUUCGGAAACGGAUGCUAAAACCGCAUAGGUCUUCGAACCGCAUGGUUUGAAGAGGAAAAGAGGCGCAAGCUUCUGCUGAUGGAUGGACCCGCGGUGCAUUAGCUAGUUGGUGAGGUAACGGCUCACCAAGGCCGUGAUGCAUAGCCGACCUGAGAGGGUGAUCGGCCACAUUGGGACUGAGACACGGCCCAAACUCCUACGGGAGGCAGCAGUAGGGAAUCUUCCGCAAUGGACGCAAGUCUGACGGAGCAACGCCGCGUGAGUGAAGAAGGUUUUCGGAUCGUAAAACUCUGUUGUUAGAGAAGGAUAAGUGCUAGAGUAACUGUUAGCGCCUUGACGGUAUCUAACCAGAAAGCCACGGCUAACUACGUG
RNAcentral lists this ribosomal RNA (498 nucleotides) under uncultured bacterium. RNAcentral describes it as "partial 16S ribosomal RNA". It matches the Rfam family "Bacterial small subunit ribosomal RNA", at positions 28 to 507 of the family's 1533-position model. The record is from RNAcentral.